Molecule: ribosomal RNA, 2251 nt
Filed under: Klebsiella quasipneumoniae
Lineage: Bacteria; Pseudomonadati; Pseudomonadota; Gammaproteobacteria; Enterobacterales; Enterobacteriaceae
Description: partial 23S ribosomal RNA
Source: RNAcentral
GUGUGACUGCGUACCUUUUGUAUAAUGGGUCAGCGACUUAUAUUCUGUAGCAAGGUUAACCGUAUAGGGGAGCCGCAGGGAAACCGAGUCUUAACUGGGCGUUAAGUUGCAGGGUAUAGACCCGAAACCCGGUGAUCUAGCCAUGGGCAGGUUGAAGGUUGGGUAACACUAACUGGAGGACCGAACCGACUAAUGUUGAAAAAUUAGCGGAUGACUUGUGGCUGGGGGUGAAAGGCCAAUCAAACCGGGAGAUAGCUGGUUCUCCCCGAAAGCUAUUUAGGUAGCGCCUCGUGAACUCAUCUUCGGGGGUAGAGCACUGUUUCGGCUAGGGGGUCAUCCCGACUUACCAACCCGAUGCAAACUACGAAUACCGAAGAAUGUUAUCACGGGAGACACACGGCGGGUGCUAACGUCCGUCGUGAAGAGGGAAACAACCCAGACCGCCAGCUAAGGUCCCAAAGUCAUGGUUAAGUGGGAAACGAUGUGGGAAGGCACAGACAGCCAGGAUGUUGGCUUAGAAGCAGCCAUCAUUUAAAGAAAGCGUAAUAGCUCACUGGUCGAGUCGGCCUGCGCGGAAGAUGUAACGGGGCUAAACCAUGCACCGAAGCUGCGGCAGCGACACUAUGUGUUGUUGGGUAGGGGAGCGUUCUGUAAGCCUGCGAAGGUGACCUGUGAGGGUUGCUGGAGGUAUCAGAAGUGCGAAUGCUGACAUAAGUAACGAUAAAGCGGGUGAAAAGCCCGCUCGCCGGAAGACCAAGGGUUCCUGUCCAACGUUAAUCGGGGCAGGGUGAGUCGACCCCUAAGGCGAGGCCGAAAGGCGUAGUCGAUGGGAAACAGGUUAAUAUUCCUGUACUUGGUGUUACUGCGAAGGGGGGACGGAGAAGGCUAUGUUAGCCGGGCGACGGUUGUCCCGGUUUAAGCAUGUAGGCUGGUUAUCCAGGCAAAUCCGGAUAAUCAAGGCUGAGGUGUGAUGACGAGGCACUACGGUKCUGAAGUAACAAAUGCCCUGCUUCCAGGAAAAGCCUCUAAGCAUCAGGUAACAUCAAAUCGUACCCCAAACCGACACAGGUGGUCAGGUAGAGAAUACCAAGGCGCUUGAGAGAACUCGGGUGAAGGAACUAGGCAAAAUGGUGCCGUAACUUCGGGAGAAGGCACGCUGGUGUGUAGGUGAAGYCCCUGCGGRUGGAGCUGAGACCAGUCGAAGAUACCAGCUGGCUGCAACUGUUUAUUAAAAACACAGCACUGUGCAAACACGAAAGUGGACGUAUACGGUGUGACGCCUGCCCGGUGCCGGAAGGUUAAUUGAUGGGGUUAUCCGUAAGGAGAAGCUCUUGAUCGAAGCCCCGGUAAACGGCGGCCGUAACUAUAACGGUCCUAAGGUAGCGAAAUUCCUUGUCGGGUAAGUUCCGACCUGCACGAAUGGCGUAAUGAUGGCCAGGCUGUCUCCACCCGAGACUCAGUGAAAUUGAACUCGCUGUGAAGAUGCAGUGUACCCGCGGCAAGACGGAAAGACCCCGUGAACCUUUACUAUAGCUUGACACUGAACAUUGAGCCUUGAUGUGUAGGAUAGGUGGGAGGCUUUGAAGCGUGGACGCCAGUCUGCGUGGAGCCAACCUUGAAAUACCACCCUUUAAUGUUUGAUGUUCUAACGUUGGCCCCUKACCGGGGUUGCGGACAGUGUCUGGUGGGUAGUUUGACUGGGGCGGUCUCCUCCCAAAGCGUAACGGAGGAGCACGAAGGUUAGCUAAUCCUGGUCGGACAUCAGGAGGUUAGUGCAAUGGCAUAAGCUAGCUUGACUGCGAGCGUGACGGCGCGAGCAGGUGCGAAAGCAGGUCAUAGUGAUCCGGUGGUUCUGAAUGGAAGGGCCAUCGCUCAACGGAUAAAAGGUACUCCGGGGAUAACAGGCUGAUACCGCCCAAGAGUUCAUAUCGACGGCGGUGUUUGGCACCUCGAUGUCGGCUCAUCACAUCCUGGGGCUGAAGUAGGUCCCAAGGGUAUGGCUGUUCGCCAUUUAAAGUGGUACGCGAGCUGGGUUUAGAACGUCGUGAGACAGUUCGGUCCCUAUCUGCCGUGGGCGCUGGAGAAUUGAGGGGGGCUGCUCCUAGUACGAGAGGACCGGAGUGGACGCAUCACUGGUGUUCGGGUUGUCAUGCCAAUGGCACUGCCCGGUAGCUAAAUGCGGAAGAGAUAAGUGCUGAAAGCAUCUAAGCACGAAACUUGCCCCGAGAUGAGUUCUCCCUGAGACUUUAAG